RNAcentral lists this unclassified non-coding RNA (149 nucleotides) under soil metagenome. RNAcentral's name for it is "partial internal transcribed spacer 1". The record is from RNAcentral.
CCGAGUUAUCAACUCCCAAACCCCUGUGAACAUACCUAUACUGUUGCCUCGGCGCAAGCUACCCGCGGCCCUCGGACAGGGACGGCCCGCCCGAGGACAACCUAAACUCUGUUAUUUAGUGAUACUUCUGAGGUACUACUAAUAAGUCA